CUGCUGUCUUGAUGACGCACAGUGCUGGCGCAAGUCGUCUUGCGCCAGGCGACUGGGUCUGAGGAGGCAGGAGUUAUUCAUUCCCUUAAGCUUUCAGGCCGGGGGGAGAAUCUUUCAGGUGGUAGCUGCAAGAACUCUUAGUAUGUUGACCUCACCUCUGCCUUCCACAUACCACUACCAGUGAGGAAUUAGGAAUGCAUGAGAAGAGUGUCCAAGAAGAGUGUCCUCAUUCAUGCAAGGCUUAAGAGAGAAUGCAGGUCAACAUCACCAUGUCAAUCAGAGGUGCAGAUGCUGAGAGCACUUUCUAGUCAAGUCCUGCAUGUUCAUUUCUGUCUCAAGUCAGCUUCUCUGAGAAUCCAAUUUAUAAAAAUAUAUUUGUGAAUGUAUAAGUAAAGUGACUUGGAUUUUGUCUACGUACAAGGACUUCUAUGCCUGCAUAAAACAGUUUGGAACCAGCAGCAGCAGCAGCUCCCCAGACCUACUGAAUCAGAAUCUACAUUUUGAUAAGAGCCCAGGGUGACUCCAUGUACGUGAAAAAGUUUGAGAAGUCCUUAGACCUACAGUUCACAGCUUCUCCUUCUUUCUUAUUCAACUGAAUUGCAGUGGGACCUGAGUAUGGUUAAAAUAAAUGAAUAAAAACACAAA
This 645-nucleotide long non-coding RNA is filed under the name Homo sapiens (human). Its description in RNAcentral is "long intergenic non-protein coding RNA 1524". Lineage: Eukaryota; Metazoa; Chordata; Mammalia; Primates; Hominidae. The record is from RNAcentral.